Zonotrichia albicollis (white-throated sparrow) is the source of this 2651-nucleotide long non-coding RNA. The record is from Ensembl. NCBI's taxonomy places the organism in Eukaryota, Metazoa, Chordata, Aves, Passeriformes, Passerellidae.
GUGACAGGGACAAGGACAGGGACAGGGAUGGGGACACUGAUGGGGACACGGAGGGGACAGGGACGGGGGGACAAGGACAGGGAGGUGACACGGACAGGGGUGACAGGGACGGGAAGGGGACAAUGACAGGGACAGUGACACUGCCAGGGAGGGGACAGGGACAGUGACAGUGACAGUGACGGGGGGGUGACAGGGACAGGAAGGGGACAAUGACAGUGACAGUGACAGGGAGGGGACAGUGACAGUGACGGGGGGGUGACAGUGACAGGAAGGGGCCGGCGCCACUUUGGGGACAGAAAGGGGGAACAGGGAGGGGACAGGACAGUGACGGUGACAGGGACAGUGCAGGGUGGGGACAGUGACAGGGACAGGGACAGGAACAGGGACAGUGACAGGGUGGGGACAGUGACAGUGACAGUGACAGUGCAGGGUGGGGACAGUGACAGUGACACGGCCAUGGCGCAGCCGAGCUCCGUCCCGCUGCUGGGUGAGCCUGCUCUUCCUCCUCAUCCUCAUCUUCCUCAUCUUCCUCAUCCUCAUCUUCCUCCUCUUCGUCUUUGCCCAUUUUUCCCAAUUUUUCCCGUUUUUUCCCCCAUUUUUGGGCCCAUUUUCCCUCCUGCUCUUCCUCCUCUUCCUCCUCUUCCUCCUCUUCCUCCUCUUCCUCCUCUUCCUCCUCUUCCUCCCCACCCAAUUUUCCCAAUUUUUCCUCCCAUUUUUGGAUCCUCUUCCUCCUCCUCCUCUUCCUCCCAUUUUUCCCAAUUUUUCCAUUUUCCCCAUUUUUGUGCCGAUUUUCCCUCCUGCUCUUCCUCCUCUUCCUCCUCCUCUUCCUCCCCACCCAUUUUUCCCAAUUUUUCCAUUUUUUCUCCCAUUUUUUGGCUCCUCUUCCUCCUCCUCCUCCUCUUCCUCCCAUUUUUCCCAAUUUUUCCCUUUUUCCCCAUUUUUGUGCCCAUUUUCCCUCCUGCUCUUCCUCCUCUUCCUCCUCUUCCUCCCCUCCCAAUUUUCCCAUUUUUUCCCCCAUUUCUGGACCUCCUCUUCCUCUUCUUCCUCCUCCUCCUCUUCCUCCCAAUUUUUCCCAAUUUUUCCAUUUUUCCCCCAUUUUUGUGCCCAUUUUCCCUCCUGCUCUUCCUCCUCCUCCUCCUCUUCCUCCUCUCUUCCAUUUUCCCCAAUUUUUCCAUUUUUCCCCCAUUUCUGGACCUGCUCUUGCUCCUCUUCCUCCUCCUCCCAUUUUUCCCCAAUUUUUCCAUUUUUUCCCCCAUUUUUUGGCUCCUCUUCCUCCUCCUCCUCUUCCUCCCAUUUUCCCCAAUUUUUCCCUUUUUCCCCCAUUUUUGUGCCCAUUUUCCCUCCUGCUCUUCCUCUUCUUCCUCCUCCUCUUCUUCCUCCCAUUUUUCCCAAUUUUUCCAUUUUUCCCCCAUUUUUUGGCUCCUCUUCCUCCUCUUCCUCUUCCUCCCAUUUUUCCCAAUUUUUCCAUUUUUUCCCCAUUUUUUGGCUCCUCCUCCUCCUCCUCCUCUUCCUCCCAUUUUUCCCAAUUUUUCCAUUUUUCCCCCAUUUUUGUGCCCAUUUUCCCUCCUGCUCUUCCUCCUCUUCCUCCUCUUCCUCCCCACCCAGUUUUCCCAAUUUUUCCAUUUUUUCCCCCAUUUUUUGGCUCCUUUUCCUCUUCCUUCCAUUUUCCCCAAUUUUUCCAUUUUUCCCCCAUUUUUGUGCCCAUUUUCUCUCCUGCUCUUCCUCCUCUUCUUCCUCUUCCUCUACCUCCCAAUUUUCCCAAUUUUUCCAUUUUUCCCCCAUUUUUUGGCUCCUCUUCCUCCUCCUCUUCCUCUUCCUCCCAUUUUUCCCAAUUUUUCCCAUUUUCCCCCAUUUUUGUGCCCAUUUUCCCUCCUGCUCUUCCUCCUCUUCCUCCCUAUCCAAUUUUCCCCAAUUUUUCCCCCCAUUUUUUGGCUCCUCUUCCUCCUCUUCCUCUUCCUCCUCUUCCUCUUCCUCCUCUUCCUCCCAUUUUUCCCAAUUUUUCCAUUCCCCCCAUUUUUGUGCCCAUUUUCCCUCCUGCUCUUCCUCCUCUUCCUCCUCUUCCUCCUCCUCCCAAUUUUUCCCCAAUUUUUCAUUUUUCCCCCAUUUUUUGGCUCCUCUUCCUCCUCUUCCUCCAAAUUUUCCCCAAAUUUCCAUUUUUCCCCAAUUUUUCCAUUUUCCCCCCCAUUUUUUGGCUCCUCUUCCUCCUCCUCAUCCUCUUCCUCCCCACUGAAUUUUCCCCAAAUUUCCAUUUUCCCCCCAUUUUUUGGCUCCUCUUCCUCCUCUUCCUCCUCUCUUUCAUUUUUCCCCAAUUUUUCCAUUUUUCUCCCAUUUUUUGGCUCCUUUUCCUCCUCUUCCUCCUCUUCCUCUUCCUCCCAUUUUUCCCAAAUUUUCCCUUUUUUCCCCAUUUCCUGCCCUUCAUCCCAACUCCUCCUCUUCCUCCUCUUCCUCCCCUCCCAAUUUUCCCCAAAUUUUCCAUUUUUCCCCAUUUUUUGGCUCCUCUUCCUCCUCCUCAUCCUCUUCCUCCUCUCUUUCAUUUUCCCCCAAUUUUUCCCAUUUUUUCCCAAUUUUUCCCCAAUUUUUAAAUCCCAUUUUUCACCGUUUCACUUUUUAUUUUCAAUUUUUUUCAUUCUUCAAUUUGAUUUCAUUUCCAU